This is a long non-coding RNA of Papaver somniferum (opium poppy), 1087 nucleotides long. RefSeq lists it as uncharacterized. The transcript is spliced from 2 exons. NCBI's taxonomy places the organism in Eukaryota, Viridiplantae, Streptophyta, Magnoliopsida, Ranunculales, Papaveraceae. The record is from RefSeq and is a predicted model, not a curated record.
CUUUCUUUUGGUUCUUUUAAAAAGUAGAAAACCAGAUGCCUAUCAGCCACCGCCCUAAUUGAUCUUCUUCCCUGAUUUUUUCCCCAGACCAUAAUUUAUCAAAAAGAAAAAACAAAACAAAACCUUUGCGAUUCACCAAAAACUCUCAAAUAUGUCUACGCCAUCUUCUUCCAACUCACAAAACGAAUAUUUGGUAUGUCUUAUUUUGGAUGGAAACCUAACAAAAAGCUGCAAAGAUGUCUCGAAUCGUGUUGCGGCGGAUGUUUGCGAUUGUCAUUUGCCGUUGUUUGGUUUUACCGAUAACAUUAACGAGGGCCAAUUAAUCAGUAUCUUAGAGAAUUUCUUGAAGAAUUACAAGAAAAGUCCUAUUUCACUAAAGUUUUCAGAUUUAUGUUCCCAAACAAAAAAGAUCUUUUUUUAAUACCCGCCGCAUCGAUUCAAUUGCUUGAGUUCCAUUCCGGACUGUUCAAGGAAUUGGCUAAUUUCCAAGUGCCAGAUGAAUAUAAACCGGAUAUUUGGUUUCCUCGAGCUACCUUCUCUAUCGUAAAAGGAGAUGAGCAACUAUGUGAAGGAUUUGCUGCCGCUAGGAAAUAUCUGGGGUUUCCAUUAAAAGGAUCUGCGCAUAAACUUGCACUCCUACGGAUUUCGCCUGACCUCAGGAGAGCAUGCUGGUCUGGCAACCUUUCCAAUGAGGGAGGCAAAGAUAAUCACAAGGGCCAGAUCAGCUGGCAAAUGAGGAAGUGUGGCUCUGGAGGAAGUUGUACUAUUGGAAAGGACUGAACCAAGUGUAGCUGGGAGAAGAUCAUAAAGAAGCUCUAUCUCCCAUUAGCAAAGGCUAAUCUAAAAUCCAAUGGCAGGCUCAAUGAUGUUGGAAGAUGCCAUAUGUUCUUGCAAGGACUAUUUACUAUCCAAUUCAGUUAGUUUUAGUUAUUCUGAUGGCUGUUGUGCUGGCGUCCCAACGCCAUCCAGCCACCAUGCUACUUCCCUUCCUCUCUUUUUAUGGUUAGGCACCCAACCUAUGGUGCUCUAAACGUUAUGUAUGACUCAAGGGCAACCCUCUUUUUAUUUAAUGCUUUCAGUUUUUCUA